RNAcentral lists this ribosomal RNA (491 nucleotides) under uncultured bacterium. Its description in RNAcentral is "bacterial SSU rRNA". It matches the Rfam family "Bacterial small subunit ribosomal RNA", at positions 31 to 518 of the family's 1533-position model. The record is from RNAcentral.
GAACGCUGGCGGCGUGCCUAACACAUGCAAGUCGAACGAAGCAUACGGACCGGAGAUCGUCGAAGGACCGUAUGACUUAGUGGCGGACGGGUGAGUAAUGUAUGAGCAACCUGCCUUUCAGAGGGGGACAACAGUUGGAAACGACUGCUAAUACCGCGUAACGUAUCGUGGGGGCAUCCUCGUGAUACCAAAGGAGCAAUCCGCUGAAAGAUGGGCUCAUAUCUGAUUAGCUUGUUGGCGGGGUAACGGCCCACCAAGGCGACGAUCAGUAGCCGGACUGAGAGGUUGAACGGCCACAUUGGGACUGAGAUACGGCCCAGACUCCUACGGGAGGCAGCAGUGGGGAAUAUUGGGCAAUGGGCGAAAGCCUGAACCCCAGCAACGCCGCGUGAAGGAAGAAGGUCUUCGGAUUGUAAACUUCUUUUAUGAGGGACGAAGGACGUGACGGUACCUCAUGAAUAAGCCACGGCUAACUACGUGCCAGCCGCAGC